GCAGUGGUGGUUCAGUGGUAGACUUCUUGCCUGCUACGCGGUAGACCUGGGUCUGAUUCCCGGCCAAUGCA
Molecule: non-coding RNA, 71 nt
Organism: Danio rerio (zebrafish)
Lineage: Eukaryota; Metazoa; Chordata; Actinopteri; Cypriniformes; Danionidae
Source: Rfam